CUACGGGUUGCUCCAGUGGGGAAUAUUGGACAAUGGGCGAAAGCCUGAUCCAGCCAUGCCGCGUGAGUGAUGAAGGCCCUAGGGUUGUAAAGCUCUUUUGUGCGGGAAGAUAAUGACGGUACCGCAAGAAUAAGCCCCGGCUAACUUCGUGCCAGCAGCCGCGGUAAUACGAAGGGGGCUAGCGUUGCUCGGAAUCACUGGGCGUAAAGGGUGCGUAGGCGGGUCUUUAAGUCAGAGGUGAAAUCCUGGAGCUCAACUCCAGAACUGCCUUUGAUACUGAGGAUCUUGAGUUCGGGAGAGGUGAGUGGAACUGCGAGUGUAGAGGUGAAAUUCUUAGAUAUUCGCAAGAACACCAGUGGCGAAGGCGGCUCACUGGCCCGAUACUGACGCUGAGGCACGAAAGCGUGGGGAGCAAACAGGAUUAGAUACCCCGGUAGUC
This 439-nucleotide ribosomal RNA is filed under the name uncultured bacterium. RNAcentral describes it as "partial 16S ribosomal RNA". It matches the Rfam family "Bacterial small subunit ribosomal RNA", at positions 339 to 795 of the family's 1533-position model. The record is from RNAcentral.